Molecule: long non-coding RNA, 451 nt
Organism: Lagopus leucura (white-tailed ptarmigan)
Lineage: Eukaryota; Metazoa; Chordata; Aves; Galliformes; Phasianidae
Exons: 3
Source: RefSeq, a predicted model, not a curated record
CUGCGUGGAGCUGUGCUGCUCUGGAGGGCAGGUUUCUUGCUGAUGCUGCAUCCUCCCCGUGAGCCGGCAUUUCCGUGCCACUGAGUCAUCCCCGACGCUGGAAUGUGGCCAUGUGUGCACCGCCCUGCACAGCCAUGCUCUCCUGGCUGUGCCCCGUGAGGAGGUGCCUGUGUGCAGAUGUUGAGACAGUGCUUCAACGUGAGCCAGGAGGACGGGGGCUGCGCUCAACGCCUUCGCAUUUUCCUUUUUCCGAUCUUUCUCCGUUCCUCUAAUUGGAAGCCUUGGGCUGGCAUUUCCUGCCCUGCAGACCAUGCUGUAUGGCACAGCUCUGCCAGACAGGCAGCCAGGAGAUGGCUCAGCACUGCAGUGAGCAGUGGGUCGGCGUCCCCUGCGAGAGCUGCCUUCCUGCUGGAUGCAUUCAACCUUCCUUCCCUUCCCAAAAAAAAAUGAU